Molecule: long non-coding RNA, 1702 nt
Organism: Esox lucius (northern pike)
Lineage: Eukaryota; Metazoa; Chordata; Actinopteri; Esociformes; Esocidae
Source: Ensembl
CUCUAUCAGUUAGUUUUACUUGCUGUGCAACGACAGUGAGAUCAAAUUGGUAUUUGUGAGUUCAAAUUAGGAUUCGGCAUCUAUCGGUUUCUCUUUGUUUUGAGAACAUAGUCACACCCAAGUGCCACAGUAGGUCUUAUCCAGGGGUCGCCAGGGAAACCACAGACCUGUCGCUGGCCAGUUGGUCUCUCACUGACAGGAAUACCUGCCCUUUGGACCGUUUGAGAAUAGACCGCUAAAAACGGAGACUGUUUUCUUACACUUGCCAACCAGGAAGCUGCUACAGGAUGCUGUGAAGGCCGUCUUCCAACACUACCUAUAAUAUAGACAGUAAACUGGGGAGGUAGAUACCUAGCGGCUAGAGCAUUUGACCGAUAACCAACCGGUUGCUUGAUUCCAUCCCAAAGCUGGGACUGCCAGGAUGUGUCACGGUUUAGUGGGUGGCAGAAGUAAGCGCAGGCAGGGUUGUGGUUCAAAAGGCCAAUUUAUUGAGCCAACUGUCAAAAACCAAAAAAGGAGCAGCACACAAAAAUACAGCGUACUAUGGACAAACAAUAACCAACAACACAAGGAAAACAAGAGCACCCUAAAAUAGUGUCCCCAAUCAGAGGCAACGCAUGCCAGCUGCCUCCGAUUGGGGACACCUGACACUGAACAAAGACAUGCCUAGAGGCAUCUAUUCCCUGGCCAGGGAAUAUGGCCUUAAGCCCAGUGCAGAGAUGGCUAGGGGCAUCUUCAUAGCCAGAACCUGACAGGAAGACGAUUUGCUGCCCCAUGUAUUUUUUUAAGAACAGAAACACUAGAAAUAGUACUUCAUUGGUGCUCUAAUACAAAUUUUUAUCAUACAAUCAACAACACUAUCCAGGCCGGUUCUAGGCAUAAGCAACCUAAGAGGUCACUUAGGGCCCCUGACCGCUAGGGGGCCCCAACUGCUAAUGAGCCCCCUGACCGCUAGGGGACGGGGGCCCCAAAAGGCUAGAGCUGGCAUUGACACUAUCAAAUGGAGUCAGUUUAGCAUGUGAUUAUACAUUUCAUAAAUUAAGGGCAAUGGAAGAGUUUUAAGUAAACUUCACAUUUAUUUUAAGAAAAUGUUUUUUUAGAAUGUGAUAGUAACUUUGACAAAAAAUAUACUAUUACAGUGCCUAUAUUACAUUACUUCUUUAUCUCUAUAUUAUUAAUUGAUGGGGAAGGAGCACUUUUUUAAUUCGUUUUUAAAGAAAUGUGUGUAUCCUAGCAGACUGCCUAUCCCCACAGUUACAACCCCUCCCUCCCUUCUUUACAGUGAAUGUGCUGUUUUUAUGUUAUUUUUUAUUUUUGAUUGAAGUUUGAGUAUAACAUAUCCCUGAAACAGCUGUCUGUGUCCACUACAGUAUUAUCCCUCACGGUCAGUGGGGGUCAAUUCCAUUGUCAGCUCAGGGCAUGAACCAGGAUUUUGAAUAUUCCAAUUGGAAAUGAAUGGUGCUGUAUCGAUUCUGGAAUGGGAUUUUCUCAAAUUACUUUCUAGAACAAACUAGAAGUAAUUGUACUGGAAUUGACCCCAGCCCUGCUGCCGUGUCCAAGCAGUUGGCCACUUCAGAUUGUCACGGUUCCUACAGUGAGCUGACUGUGUGUGAAUGUUCAUCCCACCAGCUUUAUUUUAAGGAGAUUUAUACAUGAUGGAACACUUGUAAUAAAUACCUCAAAUUAAAUGGAUGUUUUGUGC